CAAUAAUGCGGAGUCGAUGCAACGCGGCCCAUACUUGGGCGCCUGGACCGUGUGAAGACAGUGGCGCAACCGACCGCUGCCG
This 82-nucleotide non-coding RNA is filed under the name Desulfotomaculum sp. Its description in RNAcentral is "c-di-GMP-II sequence". It matches the Rfam family "c-di-GMP-II-GAG riboswitch aptamer". Lineage: Bacteria; Bacillati; Bacillota; Clostridia; Eubacteriales; Desulfotomaculaceae. RNAcentral also lists the same sequence under 1 other name. The record is from RNAcentral.